Molecule: ribosomal RNA, 253 nt
Filed under: uncultured bacterium
Lineage: Bacteria
Description: partial 16S ribosomal RNA
Rfam family: Bacterial small subunit ribosomal RNA
Source: RNAcentral
UACGGAGGAUCCGAGCGUUAUCCGGAUUUAUUGGGUUUAAAGGGAGCGUAGGCGGGUUGUUAAGUCAGUUGUGAAAGUUUGCGGCUCAACCGUAAAAUUGCAGUUGAUACUGGCAUCCUUGAGUACGGUAGAGGUAGGCGGAAUUCGUGGUGUAGCGGUGAAAUGCUUAGAUAUCACGAAGAACUCCGAUUGCGAAGGCAGCCUGCUGGACUGUAACUGACGCUGAUGCUCGAAAGUGUGGGUAUCAAACAGG